CGACCUGAGCUCAGGCAAGAAC
RNAcentral lists this ribosomal RNA (22 nucleotides) under Microglena redcarensis. RNAcentral's name for it is "partial 28S rRNA". Lineage: Eukaryota; Viridiplantae; Chlorophyta; Chlorophyceae; Chlamydomonadales; Chlamydomonadaceae. RNAcentral also lists the same sequence under 1 other name. The record is from RNAcentral.